CUAGGUAUCCCUCGACUUUCGAGAAAUGUGUCACCCAGAAAAAUGCCUCAAUCUGAAAAAUUCUACCAUCACUGGAUAGAUAAUUUAAUAUUCUAUCGAUUGAGGAAGUUUGGUGGGUGGCACAUUCCUAUUAAUGCACUAAUAUCGACUUUAAAAAUUUCAAUGCACUUUUUAGAAAAAAAUCGCGACAUUUUCUUCCUUGGUGACAACCGCGCCAUCUAUUGAUGAGCAAAAACUAUGUAGCUUCGAGACCUUUAACAGUUUUUGACAUAACCUUACUUUUUUGUUUGGAUUCUUGAUUUUCACCAUUUUCUUUGUUUUAAAGCUUAUUUUUGUGCUUUAACAUGACUAAAAUACAGUAAAAGUUAGAAUAUUUGCCUAAGUGAUGUGUAAAGUGCUGCCGAUUUGUGAUACGUGACAAAGAAAAUGUUUAUUUUCACGAGUGAAAGUUGUAAUGCUAUCCGGAAGACUUUGUGCAAGAAAAAAUGGGGAUAUCUUUGUCGCAGGCAAAUUUCUGAUUGCAAAUUGGAAUAUCAGGCGAAUCUUGAACUGACAAAAAGUCUAGGUGCCCCAUGAUUUUGUCAGGAGUCAUGUCCGGUCAUCAAUUCUCACCGAGGAAUGCGAAGUAUUCAGUUCUCAAGGGAAGGAUCAAGGAGACUGUAGCGCCUAUGAGAAGAUUGAUUCACAACACUGAAGCAUAAUAGAAGUACCAAAGAAGGACCAGAAAAGCAGAUUAUGAUUUUAUUUAACGUCACCGGAGAUUAACUUGUAGUGCUACAGUACUAAUAAGCGAAUCCUGAGAAGCUCAAUGUCCAGGAUUCAUUGAAUGUCGGGAAGAAGCUGUUCUCUCUUGAGAAGUGGAAAAUUCCGUCUGACUAUUCCCAGUUCAGGAAAUGCUGUGAACACUCACAAGAAAUAAUUUCUAAUUUAGGGUGAAAAUUGGAAUUUUAUUUGUCUACAAAUGUCGCAAACUCUGUGGCAUCUAUAUGAUCAACAUAUUUUUUUCCGGAAGAUUGCUGUUGUGUUUUCUUCGUUGCAAUAGGCUCACUCAAAACGAAUUGCUCAAUGUACGGAAUGAGGGCAGUAAUUGUGAAGUCCUGAAUGAGAUGACGCGGUUUAUGUGCAUCGCUGGCUGAUAGGUAUAUCCUACGUAGUACUGAUAUUGAUUUCUUCACAACUAAUAAUCAUAUAUUUUGAUUCUUAGGUAGCAAAAUAGGAGUCUCAGUACUGUGAUCAUUGGCGAUAUAUCUCCUGCAUUUCCCCGCAGGAGCUACAGUGAAGGAUGUACCGCUUCAUCGAUGAGAAUUGCCAGAGUGCAGAUUUAGAUCAACUUUGGGGUGAUACCUCAAAUAUCACAUUUAAACUUCUGGAAAUAUUCAAAGAAAUAGAAUUUGAUUAGAAUUUAGAAUAAUUUUCUCUGCAUACAAUGUUUAAUGAUUCAAAAAUUUGCUGAGAGUUCAUGAUGUGAUCGUGAUACUAAAUCGAAACUUUAUAAUAGCAUCUAUAGAAAUGUUAAUGUACAGUUUGCCUGUUAAAAAAAAAUGAUUAAAAAAUUUUCAAUUUAAAAAAUAA
Molecule: long non-coding RNA, 1572 nt
Organism: Lutzomyia longipalpis
Lineage: Eukaryota; Metazoa; Arthropoda; Insecta; Diptera; Psychodidae
Exons: 2
Source: RefSeq, a predicted model, not a curated record